RNAcentral lists this ribosomal RNA (403 nucleotides) under Fusobacteriota bacterium. Its description in RNAcentral is "Fusobacteria bacterium partial 16S ribosomal RNA". It matches the Rfam family "Bacterial small subunit ribosomal RNA", at positions 355 to 776 of the family's 1533-position model. The record is from RNAcentral. Lineage: Bacteria; Fusobacteriati; Fusobacteriota.
UGGGGAAUAUUGCACAAUGGGGGAAACCCUGAUGCAGCGACGCCGCGUGAGCGAAGAAGGUUUUCGAAUCGUAAAGCUCUGUCCUCUGGGAAGAUAAUGACGGUACCAUAGGAGGAAGCCCCGGCUAACUACGUGCCAGCAGCCGCGGUAAUACGUAGGGGGCAAGCGUUGUCCGGAAUCACUGGGCGUAAAGGGUUCGCAGGCGGAAAUGCAAGUCAGUUGUGAAAGGCAGAGGCUCAACCUCUGUAAGCAAUUGAAACUGUAUUUCUUGAGAUGUGGAGAGGCAAGUGGAAUUCCUAGUGUAGCGGUGAAAUGCGUAGAUAUUAGGAAGAAUACCGGUGGCGAAGGCGACUUGCUGGACACUAACUGACGCUGAGGAACGAAAGCGUGGGUAGCAAACAGG